CCGCGUUCGGUUGGAGUUUUUGUGAGGUGAUGGACUUCUCCGUCGUUUUGAAACGUCUCUGAACUGUCCGGUCAAUCGAAGUACCAACUACCAGCUCAUGUGUGCUACCUUGCGGAUGUUUACUCACAGCUCGGUGAACCGCAUAAAAGUUACGUUAUACUUGUGAAUUGCCUUUUUGGUGUUUGGUUGUCUAUGCAGUUUAAUAAAUACAAAUAAGUAUCAUAACUCCGGUGGUCUUUCGGACACCGCAAAACGGUGAAGAUUUCGUCAGUGAAAGUGUUUUUUCCUUCAUUCAAUUCUUCUGUGGUAAUCUAAACCAUGCGAAUCAGUCAAGUGUGACCGACCCAAAAGGCAGUAAGCAGAGGUUCGGACCAAAUCGAAAAGAUUGUUGAUGUCCACCGCCAGCCAAAUUUACUUCAUCAUCGAAUCCGAAAGAUUGGUAUCGAAGUAUCGGGAAUCCGGAACAUGAUUCCGGUUAAAGCUAUAUGGGCUUCAAAAUAAAGUACAUCGCCAGUAUAUAAGAAUGUCCACUUCAUGUUCGACCAGCAUGUGUUACCCCAUGGACACCGGUUCAAGUGAACGAACCAGAGAUAUCGAUAUGGUAUCAAAAUAUGGCUUCCAUGUCCUCCAUCAUUCCACAGUCAUUCAACAGAAAUCCUGAAGAAAAACGAAUGAAAAUAGCUGGAUCUUUUAAACAAACCGGUAGGAAAAAAUGAAAUAUGAAUCGUGAAAUCUCGUUGAUAU
Molecule: long non-coding RNA, 744 nt
Organism: Uranotaenia lowii
Lineage: Eukaryota; Metazoa; Arthropoda; Insecta; Diptera; Culicidae
Exons: 3
Source: RefSeq, a predicted model, not a curated record